Molecule: RNA transcript, 2115 nt
Organism: Rattus norvegicus (Norway rat)
Lineage: Eukaryota; Metazoa; Chordata; Mammalia; Rodentia; Muridae
Source: RefSeq, a predicted model, not a curated record
CGCAUGCGUGUGUCUCUAAGGCAGUCUCCUGGACCCCAGACUGGAUUCUAGUUCACUAUGUAGGCAAGGAUGAUGUUGGACUUCUGAUCCUCCCGUUCCCACAGGUGUGCAUCACCACAUCUGGUUUUAUACGACACUGGGCAUUGAACCCAGGGCUUUGUGCACUCUAGGCAAGCAUUUUACCAACUGAGCUAUGGUCUCUGCCUCCCCCCACCCCCAGUUCUUUAGUCCUAAUAAGCUAAGUUUUCCACGGGAGCGCUUUCAGCAACAGUGGUCUAGUAGAUAGUUUAUGGCUGUAAUGUAAUAUGUGCUCUGAGGAGAAUAAAUGGUUACCUAAUGACUUACUGUGGUGCCGAGUUCAGUACAGGAAGAGAAGGCCAUAUCUGUGCUAUGAUAAGUUAGCCCCGAGGCCCAUCAGGGCUGAUGGAGAUCUACAUGGUCACGCCAGGAAGCUCUUGGUAAGCUAGAACUUCCUACCAGUCUCUUUCUGGUGGGCACAGUGGCCCUGGUGACUCUCAGCAUCUGUGUUUAAUACGUUUUUUUUUUUAUUAAAAACAAGAACUGCUGUAGCUCCCCAGAAACUGAAUUUGUGCACACGGAUAUUUCUUUUUUCUUCAGAGAGGAGAGUAAAACAUUUAUUUUCAACAUCGCAAUCAAUCUCCCUCUCGGGGAUGAGCCUUGCUGCAUGAAAGACAGCGGUGAGAUGAGUGGCUUGCCGAACGGGAAAUCUUAUUUGCUCGGAUUCCGUCUAGUCUUGUACAAACAGGCUCUAUGUGUGGAGGCAAAGGCCCAUGGAGGUCAGAAGAGGGCAUAAGAUUCCCUGGAACUUGAGUUAAGGAUGGUCGUGACUCACCAUGUGGACAUUGGGAACUGUAAGAGCAGCAGGAGCUCUAAUUGUUCUCACCGUGGCUCCGUGCGACUAAGCGACUCGUCCACAGAUGCGCUGAUGCGAGCUGCCAGAGGCAGACCUGACAGGGACUGUCUCACCUCAGAGCCUGGGCGCUCAGGGCUCCCCCAGUCACUGUCUGCCUUGCCUCUCUGAGCCUUCAUUUCUUUUGGUGGGGAGCUUCGCUCGCUCAGAUCGACACCCGACUUUCAGCGGAAUCGAUGAGCCGUGAGAACUGGACUGUUUGCGUGAGCUAGAGAGAGGGCUCAGUGGUUGGGAGCACUGGCUGCUCUUGUAGAGACCUGAGUUGGAUUCCCAGCGCUUGUGACUUAACUCCAGCACCAGAGGAUCUGACGUCUUGCCUCCAUAGGCUCCUGAACUCAUGUGUACAUGUCCAACAUAAUACAUAACUCAAACUAAAGAUGAACCUUGAAGAGGAAGAGGAGAAAGAGACAGAAGGACAGAGAGAGCUCUCCUUCCGAAGAGCGUGGCGCACUUCAAGCUCUCAGCCACAGGCCAUUCUCCUGGGCUCCUGUCCUCUUCACCCAUCGUGUGCUAACUGCUCAGCUUGGGUGUUAGGUCUGAUGACCAAUCUUGCUCAGCACCACCCAGUGGGCUCUCCCCUCAAGAGCUUACUCGUUACGAGUAGCGCACUGCAUCAUGGGGCAAGCAUGGGACAUUGGCUCAGAGUCCAGAAAGUCACCUCCAUCUGCAGAUGGAAUUAUACGGCAGUUAUGGGACUUCUGUAUCAGGGCACUUGGGGGAUUUGAAGACACACUAAGUGAUAGUGAUAAUAUUUAGAUAAUUUCUAAUAACCUGAAGAGUGUGGACACACACACACAAUCACACGAUCACACAAAUACACACAUAUUGGGUAGCUGCAAACCAGAACCCUCAAAGGGAUUUAAUUUUUUCCAGUCUAUGAAAUCUGAAUAAUACAUGUCUCCACAUCCUCGCCAGCAUCUGCUGUCACCUGAGUGUUUGGUCUUAGCCAUUCUGACUGAUGUGAGGUGGAAUCUCAGGGUUGUUUUAAUUUGCAUUUCCCUGAUGACUAAGGAUGUUGAACAUGUCUUUAGGUGCUUCUCAGCCAUUCGGCAUUCCUCAGCUGAGAAUUCUUUGUUUAGCUCUGUACCCCAUUUUUAAUAGGGUUAUUUGGCUCUCUAGAGUCUUUGUAUAUAUUGGAUAUUAGCCCUCUAUCAGGUGUAGGAUUGAUAAAGAUCUUUUCCCAA